CGCCUCACAGGUGACCCGGUGCACCCUAACUAACAUCUCGGUAGUGUCUGCACGCAUCUGAGGAGCGCUGCCACUUUCGGAGCCGCCCGUGGUAGAAGACGGUCAGUAGGUGGCACUGUUUGUUGUGGAUUAGCUAAGGCUCUGCGCAUGCCAGCCGGCUCACCUGAUGGGGGGUAGGGGAGGGGCGCCCCGUCCCCCGGAACAGAACGCUCAGAUGUCUCAGAGGUUAGUGUGACCGGGAGCAAAACCCAGUUCCUCUUCCCGGCUCUUUAAAAGGAAAAUUCUGUUUCAGAUACACAGAGAGAUGUGUUCAGAAGGAACCUGACUUGACAUUCAGGACAUCUAGCCAUAAAUUAUUCCGACCCCUCCAUGUGAUGUAGAAGAUAUGAAUCUUAACAAUUCCGUCUACUGAGAAAGAAUUCUUGAGAUCACUAUUGGGAACAGUUUCUGAAAAAAGCGUGGUUUUGGUAUGGAUACAAAGCAAAGACUUGAAAACCCCAGAACGGUGGCCAGUGAAGUCAGCCAGGUGCUGUCCUGUCUCUGAAUUUGAAGCUCAGUCCCCACACAGCCCCACGUGAACCUCUUCCUCUCUUUUCCAGGGGAGGAAAAGCCAGGUACGUGUCAUUCCAGUUACCUGCCCAAUUCUCCUCAGAGUUAUCCUGGUCUUUUCAGUCUGCUAAUGGACUGUAAAAUGAAAUUAGUUUCUCAGGCUUUCUGUACUGGGUGAAAGUGAAAUUGGUCAGUGAGCCGGAAGUUGGCUGAAAUAUGCUAUUAUUUUUAGUGCACGUCUUGCAGUAAGGGAUAAGCACUUCGGGGAUUAUGUUACAGAGAAAUUGACACAAGAAACGGUUGAAAUUCUUUAUAGACACGGAGAUCCAUAAAUAUGCAUGCGUGCACACAGUUGUGCACAGAAACACAGAAACACACAUGUAUGUUGGCAUACACACAGUCUCACUAGGACAGGCAUUUACUUAGUGGAUGCCCAAAACUCAAGUUCAAAUUCAUUACAAAAUGGAACUAUUGGUGAUGAAUGAUUGCAGGGACCAUCACAAUGGCUUAUGUUACAAAAAAAGAUAGUUUUUGAGAAUUUUUAAGUGAAAUAUGCUCAUAAGAAGAAACCCUGAGAACUAGCAAGAAGAUAAGAUAUGUUGGUGUAAACUAUUAUUAAAAUUUGUUUCCUGAGACUUGAAGUUGUUGGCAGUUAUGGAAGUCAUGCUGGGCUUGGAGCAGGGAGAAAAAGAGAGUGUGGGAGCUUGUGCUCCAGCGGCUCAGAGCUGCCGAGUUCCCCUGGAGCACCAGGGUCCCUCCCCAAGCUGUCCUUUUCUCCUUUCCUCUCUUUUUUCUUCCCUUCUCCCUUCCUCUUUCUUUAUUAUUUUCCCAGCUUUGUGGGCUGUUUUGGUUAACACUUGCAUUGUGUUCAGGCCCAAUGAUUUUUGGUCUCAGUUUAUUUCGUUUGUCCUAGAUAAAAGUUUUUCAGAUGUACAAACAGCCAGCAAAAAUGUGCAUCCUGCUCAGUUAUGCUCAGUCCGGUAUCUCUUAGCAGUUUCUCCCAGAAGAUGAAGAUGAAGAAGAAAUGUCUAGCUACAGGCAAAGCAAGCACUGCUUCUGAAAUGAUUUGAUGCCCUCUCCGUUUUCAUCACUUGAUAAAGAUUUGUGUUAUCUGAAGUACUAUUCUAUCUGCCUCAUAAAAGAAAAGGAAUUUUAAUGUGAGAACAAAUAAAACUCAAUGAUAAAUCAACAUUGCCAGCAUAUCUCUAAUAAAUAUUUGAUAAAAGGCUAGCAAAUUCAAGAUCCUUGAAACUUUAAUGGAAGAAAAUUUAUGAGAACAGGAAACCGAAAGUAGGCCAUCUCUGUGGGCGCUGCGCUGCUUCAUCUCAUCUGGUUUCUAGCACACAGCUGUAUGUAAGAACGUGGGUGCACGGAAUGUGGGUAUAAGACCAUCAUGAUCCUUUCUUUCUACAUUAAACUCCUUGUCUUGAAAAAUAUCUUGACUCUACAUGAAUCUGUGUACUUUUCUGAGAGCAUGCAUAACAUGUUUUUUUUCUCAGGAAUGCAAUGAGGUUGCUGUUUCCAAAAGCUCUUAAAUUCUGAAAUAUAAGAAGUGUUCUUCCCAGCACUGGAACCCAGAAGCCACCUAUACACAAUGUGGUGAACAGAAUGCGCAAGAUCUCUCAUGACAAAUCUGAAAUUUGUUUUUCUCAGCUACGGGAAGCCUACUGGGAGAAGAUUCCAAGCAAUUUGGCAACUUAAAGCAAAAUGUAUGCUUUGAUGUUGUACCAUUCCUCCGAGGAGUAAGUCAUACCAUAUUGCAGAAAAAUGGGGUUGAGUGUUGCAUUUAUAAUUAUACCCCCAAAAGUGAUUCCAUGGCUAUCAUGCAAGGAUGUGACCUAAAAAAGAAGUCAUUGUCGCAAGGCUGGGUAGCAUUUACAUGCCUGUGUAAAUGUGUAGUUGAUCACACAUCGUACCUCCUGGUUUCUCCUUCCCCUAACUUAGACCAUGCGCUUUCCUAAUUCACUUUUGGCUUAAUAUUUUAUUACUUAAUAAUAAUUCAGUAAAUUUACUUAGAACAAGAAAUCCAUCCAAUGACUCAGGGCUGAGGGAUGCUUGCAGAGUAAAAUAAGCAUGCAUUUCGUGCCAUCUGAGGCUUUCCAGAGUCCCUCAGCCCAGUCGCCACUAAUGCCAGGAGCUUUGAAAUAAAGCAGAAGCUCUGCAGGGCACGAUCCCUUCCCAAGGAGGGGAGUUCAUGGUCCCUGGACGUGAACAGCGAACACGCCGUUGCCAUCUUUUCCUGUAACCAAAAUUCUGAUAGACCCCAAACAGAAUCGAGCCCAUUUUAAUGUAAAACAGAGUAGAAAUCAGGGAUGAAAAGACUUUCAGUUAUAUAUAAUUUCUAGUUGGGGAUUUUAGUUUGUAAAGGACUGUUGAUUUUUAAAAGCAAGGGAAGAAAUGUCAGUAUCCUCCUGAGGAGUUUUUGAUAGGAAACCUCAGUCCUCCCAGAGCACAUCUGUUUUCAGACAUCUGUAUGGUUUCACUGUUUACCAGAUCUGAAGUUGGGAAGAUGGAUCUUACCUCCGUGAUCUCUUGGCAUUUUGUCCUAAUUUAAUUAGCAGUGAUUUUUUUCCUGCCUAACAACAGGAAGCAUUUUUGUGAACUAUUGUAGUUGUUAAUGUGACAGAAGGGAUCUAACUUUUUAAUCACAGACAUUCAUGUUUUCAGCAGCCCUUUUUCACUUUUCCCUGUAUGUCACCCAGUUCCACCCCGUGAUGACUUAUCUCCAGGGUGUGACUGUUCUGCCUGUAACAUAAACCAUGAAUCAAGCAGUUGGCAAAGUAUUGCCUAUGUGGAGUCCGCCUCGGUCUAUUUCCUAUUCUUCCACAGGAAACCUGCACAAGGCAAGGUAUUUGUCUACUUCCUUCAGUGGAUACAAACAGAAUGAAGCCACACAAAUCUGGAUGGGUUGGCAAGCAUGCCCAAAGAGGAAGCUCCCGCCUGAGUUAGGAACUUCACUAAAUUUCUCACCGAGAUGUUUAACGAUGGCUUCUCUGAAACUCUGACAGACGUCAACCAGCAAGAGGCUUCCAGCUCACGCCUGGUGGUGCAAACUCAGAGGUAUCACAGUCACCCUUUGCCCACCAAGGGAGACUCCUUUCACAGCAUGAACUAGAGUUUGGAUAACAUCUUUGAUGUGUGACACCCUUAAGUCUAUCAGCUCUUUCUCUCCUUUCACUGGCCACCAGCCUCUCAAAAUUUAUAAAGGAGCUGGGAUGAACCCCAGACCUCACCUCUGCAGCUUGCUGCUGGGAAGCUUGAGGUAAGCUGGACAUCCAUAGAACUGGGCAGGGCCUGGUCACCUGAGGGGGAAACUGAGAAAAGACAAUGGAGAAAAUCUCUGCUGGAAAAAAGAGAUUCACGCCAAGUUCCUCAUAGGAGCCUCUAACUACAAAUAAAGGAACAGAGAUACUUCUCUGAGAGUCACAGAAGCACAGUGGUAGCAUCUCUGUGUGCCCCAAGAGGAAAAUCUGCCCCUUCUGUAGGUUGCCUUAUUCAUCUCUAAAUCUGCAGGAGAAAAGCAGGCCUAUAUCAGUGAGUUCCCUCCUAAAAGAUGAAAUACAAGUUCAGCACCCUCUGGAAUUGGAAUUCCAUCCCGGCCCAGGCCACUGCCAAUCAGGAAGCCAGCAGCAGUGCCAAGUGACUCUGUCUUUCCUCUGAGCUUUCCUGCUGUUGGCUUCAAUUCCCACGUUUAUUUUUCACAAAUGCGGAGCACUUCUGAAUGAAAGAUGGACUACAUUCUGUUCCAGUCUGACAGCCGUUCCUGUGGUUGUCGCUCCUGCUGCUGAAAUCACAUUUCUGAUCACUUCAGCCUUUGGGCAGGCUCGUGCUGGCCACAGAUGUGAGCAUCUCGUGUUCCUAUCUGGGAGAUACAACUAUCUGUUCUCUUCAAACCACUAUCAAAAUAAAAUCCAGCUUUUCUCCUUCUGGAUGACACAGCCCUGCUCUCACAGGACUCUGUUCCAGUCCAUGUGAAGGCAAGCACCCAAGAAGAGAACACAUGACUGUGUCUCAUCCAAAGGAUGCUAAUUACCUACAAGGUGUAAGGCACUGUGGGCACCUUCUGAAUGGUGAGCACAAGGCUCUCUUAUUAUACUUCCUGCUAUUUCAGCCAGCAAAGAAGAGCCACCCAUGGAGAAGACGGCACAGUGAGCCUCAAAUUACAGGUUUAAGGUCCGUCAGAUGAUGAUGGUGGUGAUGAAGAUGAUGCAUGUAUGUUUUUGUGUAUGUGGAUCUCGUAUAAAAAAAGACAGGAUGAGAAAGAAUACAGCACAAGUAGAGAGCUCCUGAUUAUGCAACUUCAUUAAAGCAUAUGUGAGAAUUAAUAUAUAAAUAUCUGACAUCUGUAACAUAAGUCAGUAGGGCCUAUAGAAGGUACUGAAUUUGUAUUGGGGAGAUUUUUUUUUAGUUGGGAUGAUCAAAGGAACUCACCAUAUGCAUUUACAGGAAGAUUAAUAUAGAGUCACAACACCAUAAUGGAAACAUUGAUUCAGAAUGAGAACUUGUUCAGUUGUAUUAGUCAGCUUUCUGUUUUGGGGGAAAAUUUCCUGACUCUCCCAAUUUAAAGACAGAGAAGUCUGUUUGGCUCAUGAUUGCAGAGGUUCAGUCCAUGGUUGCUUGGCAUCAGGGCAGGAAAUUCUUGGCAGAAGGGUGAAACAACAAAGCUGUUUCUUUCCUGGUGGAAGGAAAGCAGAACAGGGGAACUGUGCCACCGGGGGGCAGAGACCAUCUAUGGUACCCAAGGUCACUCACUCUCCCAAGUCUCACCCAGACACCUGCAGAAGUGUGCUCUGCCGUUUCGCUGUGCACUCCCAAACCCAUCAACCAUGUCAGCACAGACACGUCGAGCCAUCCUCGCAGUCCAUGAGAAACACCAUCUGUAUGUGCACCAACACCCUGUGAUGAGUGUGUUUGCUAUGUGUUACAAACAUGUAGAAAUAAAAAAAAUUCUAAAAAAUGUGAAUACUUAGCAGUCAUGAACAAAUACAGUGUUGAUAAGAAUUUAGAGGAGAACAGGACUGAGAUGACACUGAAGAAAUAUUCUGCAGCAUCUAGACUUUCAUGGAUAAGAACAAAGAGUUCUACUAUUUGCAGAAUGACCAGAAACAACCUCUAGUACCUUGAAUAGACAGCGUAGAAGAUGCACACAGGCAUUGAGGGGACUGGUGAUGGCAUGUGAGUUGACCAGGAAAAAGAAUAAAUGACAUUGAAUCAUCAUCCAGUGGGCCAGUAGGACAAGGAAGUAAUUCUAAGGACCAAAAUCAGUGGGACACAGAAUGUAAGCCUUGUGGAUGCUGACGUGAUAACUAUUAAAGUCAUGAGCACCAGUGAGACUGACUUUAACAGUGACCAAGAAAAGAAAGGCUUGAGUAAGGGGCGAACAUAAAUUUUCUGAUCAUUUAUUAUAUAAUAGGCAUUGGCUGUGGUGUUUCCUCUGGAACAUUUUAUUUAUAUAGCAUAAAAUCCUAGGGAAAUGUCUAAGGGAAGGCAUGGGAGAAGAGAAAACAUUAAAAGAAAAAGUACGAGAGGGGAAAUGGAAAAAGAAGGUCAGUAGCAGGUCUGUAGCAGAAGAAGAGAGAGGGACAGGUCAUGCUGUACCGUCAGGUUAUUAACAGUCUGGAUGAUUCACCAGAGAGAGCAAAAACAGGAUUUCAAGGCGAUACCCAAUAAACUAGGAAGACAAAAAGCCGACCCACAGAGGUCUUUUCCCCACACACCCUUCAGAGUCCUCUCGCUCCCCUCUCUUUUUCCUGGUGCUCUUUGUCUCUGCCUUUGCAAGUUCUCUCUAUGAAAAACUGGCUCUGGGACCCUGGACUUCUCAGUGAACAUGUACUGCUAGAUCCCAUUUUGCACAGCCAGUACUUUUUCCUGGUGGUUUUAAAUGCUUUCUUUAUGUUGAGUUUUUGUUUGCUAGUGCUGGGGAAUAAGCCCAGGACCUCUAGAGUGCCAGGCAGUGCUCUGCCCCUGAGCUACUGACCAGCACCUUUUGGAUGCUGGUACAUCAUGUGCGGGCCUGAAUUUAUGCUCAGAAUGACUGUGUUGAGUGAUUGCUGUUACUGUUUUCAUUUGUCAGUGAGGCAAACAGAGGCACAGAUAAACAGCUCUCCUGAGACUAUGCAAACAGAAAGUGAAGGCAUUUGGGUGAAUGGAUUAUGCCUUUGCAUAUGUGAGAGAGAUGGAAACUAAUCAUAGGGUUCCAGAUUCAUGACCUUGGCAUUUUCUGUUUAGCUUUAUUUGUUUCCAGAAAAUCACAGAGACAUUUUUUAUGUACACACAUCCGGGAGAUAAGAUGGCCUUCCUCACACUGGGAAUGAGUCUCCCCAGAAGUAAAUGGGAAUAGAAAACCAGACAAACAAAUAAACAAAGGAAAGGCUUUUCAAAACUACUAACCUGGAUAAAAAUACAAACUGUUUUAAUAAAAGGAAAAUCAGUAAGUACAGGCCAGCUGUUACUCCUGCCCCGUGACCUUUUGUCAAUUCGUAUUUUAUAAAUUGGUGUUGAGAUUUGCACCUAAGACCUUGACAGCAGGAUGUUAGUUCACUUUCUGUCUCCUUUUGUGUGUUUAUUUUAUGAGCUGAUCAGUGUGCACUUUUCUUAUAGAAAUAAAUAAGCAUCUUGUUCACACACUGAAAA
Long non-coding RNA from Cavia porcellus (domestic guinea pig), 7182 nucleotides. RefSeq lists it as uncharacterized. The record is from RefSeq and is a predicted model, not a curated record. Lineage: Eukaryota; Metazoa; Chordata; Mammalia; Rodentia; Caviidae. The transcript is spliced from 5 exons.